CCUACGGGAGGCUGCAGUGGGGAAUAUUGGACAAUGGGGGCAACCCUGAUACAGCCAUGCCGCGUGUGUGAAGAAGGCCCUCGGGUUGUAAAGCACUUUCAGUGAGGAAGAACGCCUGGUGGUUAAUACCCAUCAGGAAAGACAUCACUCACAGAAGAAGCACCGGCUAACUCCGUGCCAGCAGCCGCGGUAAUACGGAGGGUGCGAGCGUUAAUCGGAAUUACUGGGCGUAAAGCGCGCGUAGGUGGCUUGAUAAGCCGGUUGUGAAAGCCCCGGGCUCAACCUGGGAACGGCAUCCGGAACUGUCAAGCUAGAGUGCAGGAGAGGAAGGUAGAAAUCCCGGUGUAGCGGUGAAAUGCGUAGAGAUCGGGAGGAAUACCAGUGGCGAAGGCGGCCUUCUGGACUGACACUGACACUGAGGUGCGAAAGCGUGGGUAGCAAACAGGAUUAGAUACCCUGGUAGUC
Molecule: ribosomal RNA, 465 nt
Filed under: Vreelandella stevensii
Lineage: Bacteria; Pseudomonadati; Pseudomonadota; Gammaproteobacteria; Oceanospirillales; Halomonadaceae
Description: partial 16S ribosomal RNA
Rfam family: Bacterial small subunit ribosomal RNA
Source: RNAcentral